UGACCUAAACCCUCACCAGAGUAACAAUUGGAGGGCAAGUCUGGUGCCAGCAGCCGCGGUAAUUCCAGCUCCAAUAGCGUAUAUUAAACUUGUUGCAGUUAAAAAGCUCGUAGUUGAAUUUCUGCGUUAUCGAGUUAUUGACUCUUGUCUUUAAUCGAUUUCGCUUUUGGGAUUUAUCCCUUUUUACUUUGAGAAAAUUAGAGUGUUUCAAGCAGACUUUUGUCUUGAAUACUUCAGCAUGGAAUAAUAGAGUAGGACUUUGGUUCUAUUUUGUUGGUUUUUGAACCUUAGUAAUGGUUAAUAGGAACGGUUGGGGGCAUUCGUAUUUAACUGUCAGAGGUGAAAUUCUUAGAUUUGUUAAAGACGAACUACUGCGAAAGCAUUUGCCAAGGACGUUUCCAUUAAUCAAGAACGAAAGUUAGGGG
This 425-nucleotide ribosomal RNA is filed under the name Babesia venatorum (nom. ined.). RNAcentral's name for it is "SSU rRNA". It matches the Rfam family "Eukaryotic small subunit ribosomal RNA", at positions 521 to 996 of the family's 1831-position model. Lineage: Eukaryota; Apicomplexa; Aconoidasida; Piroplasmida; Babesiidae. The record is from RNAcentral.